CAUCUGCCGGCUCGUUACCUACCU
This 24-nucleotide non-coding RNA is filed under the name Arabidopsis thaliana (thale cress). The record is from RNAcentral. Lineage: Eukaryota; Viridiplantae; Streptophyta; Magnoliopsida; Brassicales; Brassicaceae.